This 371-nucleotide ribosomal RNA is filed under the name Creolandreva chaloupensis. Its description in RNAcentral is "partial 12S ribosomal RNA". The record is from RNAcentral. Lineage: Eukaryota; Metazoa; Arthropoda; Insecta; Orthoptera; Gryllidae.
UAAUUAUGUAAAAUUAAUACUGGAGUAGUAAUAGAUAAGGUCUUCAAACUCAAAGAAUUUGGCGGUAUUUUAGUCUUUUCAGAGGAAUCUGUUCAGUAAUUGAUAAUACACGAAUUUUGAAAACUUAAUUUGGUUAUUAAUUUGUAUACCGCCGUCAUGAGAUUAUCUUUCAGAAAGAAAUUUUCUUGAUUCGAUAUUAGGAAAUAUGUCAGGUCAAGGUGCAGUAAAUAAUUAAGAUGGAAAUGGGUUACAAUAAUAGUAGUUAAACGGAUAUUUAGAAUGUGAUUUGAAAUUGAAGGAGGAUUUGAUUGUAAAUUAAUAUUGAUUAAUAUGAUUAUUGUUUAUUUUUUGAUUGAGGCUCUAAAAUGUGC